CCCUUAGAUGUUCUGGGCCGCACGCGCGCUACACUGACGAAUGCAACGAGCUUAUAACCUUGGCCGAAAGGUCUGGGUAAUCUCCAAAUUUCGUCGUGAUGGGGAUAGAUUAUUGCAAUUAUUAAUCUUCAACGAGGAAUGCCUAGUAAGCGCAAGUCAUCAGCUUGCGUUGAUUACGUCCCUGCCCUUUGUACACACCGCCCGUCGCUCCUACCGAUUGAAUGGUCCGGUGAAGCCUCGGGAUUGUGGUUCUUGCCGCUUUAUUGUGGCGUGACCGCGAGAACUUGUCUAAACCUUAUCAUCUAGAGGAAGGUGAANUCGUAACA
This 326-nucleotide ribosomal RNA is filed under the name uncultured eukaryote. Its description in RNAcentral is "partial 18S ribosomal RNA". It matches the Rfam family "Eukaryotic small subunit ribosomal RNA", at positions 1470 to 1796 of the family's 1831-position model. The record is from RNAcentral.